GUUUCUCUCAGACUAGCCAUGCACGUCUAGUACAAACUAAAUGAUGGUGAAACUGCAAAUGGCUCAUUACAACGGUUAUGAUGUACCCGGGAGUUCCGAUGGAUAUUUCCAGUAACACUAGAACUAAUACAUGUCCCUGCGUUUAUUAGUUUCGCACAGUCCGUCGCUGAGUCAUGGUAAACAGUUGAUCGACUCGACGUCCCGGAACAGUUUCCGCCCCAUCAGCUUCGAUGGUUGGGUAUUGGCCUACCAUUGCAACAACGGGUAACGAGGAAUUAGGGUUUGAUUUCGGAGAGGGAGCCUGAGAAACGGCUACCACAUCUACGGAUGGCAGCAGGCGCGCAAAUUACCCAAUGCAGACACUGUGAGGUAGUGACGAGAAAUAAUAAAGCGGGACUUCUGUUUCGCUAUUAUAAUGAGGAAUAACCAAAGGUCAUUCCGAUUAGCAACUGAUGGGAAAGUCUGGUGCCAGCAGCCGCGGUAAUACCAGCGUCAGUAGC
RNAcentral lists this ribosomal RNA (500 nucleotides) under uncultured Myrionecta. Its description in RNAcentral is "SSU rRNA". It matches the Rfam family "Eukaryotic small subunit ribosomal RNA", at positions 33 to 595 of the family's 1831-position model. Lineage: Eukaryota; Ciliophora; Litostomatea; Cyclotrichida; Mesodiniidae. The record is from RNAcentral.